AAUCACUUGUCCUUUAAAUGAAGACCUGUAUGAAUGGCGCGACGAAAGCUUAACUGUCUCCCCUCCCCUGUCAAUGAAAUUGAUCUCCCCGUGCAGAAGCGGGGAUAAACACAUAAGACGAGAAGACCCUGUGGAGCUUCAAACACCAAGCCCAGCUCGCAUAAAUACCCAAACAUAAAUUAAGUGUAUAAAAUAUAUGACCCCUGAGCUAAUGUUUUCGGUUGGGGCGACCAUGGGGAAAUAAAAAACCCCCAAGAGGAUAGAAGCAUUACCCAAUAUAACACAACUUCCACAAAAAAGGCUGACAAGCCUAAUUUACAGAACCUCUGACCUAUACAGAUCCGGCACAAGCCGAUCAACGAAUCAAGUUACCCCAGGGAUAACAGCGCAAUCCUCUUCAAGAGCCCAUAUCGACAAGGGGGUUUACGACCUCGAUGUUGGAUCAGGACAUCCUAAUAGUGCAGCCGCUAUUAAGGGUUCGUUUGUUCAACGAUUAA
Molecule: ribosomal RNA, 497 nt
Filed under: Plagiopsetta sp. NTUM 11985
Lineage: Eukaryota; Metazoa; Chordata; Actinopteri; Pleuronectiformes; Samaridae
Description: partial 16S ribosomal RNA
Rfam family: Bacterial large subunit ribosomal RNA
Source: RNAcentral